UACGAGGGCCCCGAGCGUUAUCCGGAUUUAUUGGGCGUAAAGAGCGAGUAGGCGGUCUUGUAAGUUUCGUGUCAAAUACCGGGGCUCAACCUCGGAUCAGCGCGGAGGACUGCAAGACUAGAGGGUGCUAGAGGCUACUGGAACUCACAGUGUAGGGGUGAAAUCCGUUGAUAUUGUGGGGAACACCGAAGGCGAAGGCAGGUAGCUGGGGCAUCCCUGACGCUCAAUCGCGAAAGCGUGGGGAUCAAAAAGG
This 253-nucleotide ribosomal RNA is filed under the name uncultured bacterium. Its description in RNAcentral is "partial 16S ribosomal RNA". It matches the Rfam family "Bacterial small subunit ribosomal RNA", at positions 524 to 776 of the family's 1533-position model. The record is from RNAcentral.